Long non-coding RNA from Aegilops tauschii subsp. strangulata, 3186 nucleotides. RefSeq lists it as uncharacterized. The record is from RefSeq and is a predicted model, not a curated record. Lineage: Eukaryota; Viridiplantae; Streptophyta; Magnoliopsida; Poales; Poaceae.
CUUUUUCUCAAUAACUAUGCGUAGAACAGGUUUUGGACUCUGGGCGGCCGGUCGGAGCACACUUUUUUUUUGACUAUGUACUGCAAGGCAAAAAGCCUCACAGAUCUCUUUAUUAAAGAAAAGUUAACAAAGUCCUGUACAAGCUAAAAAGGGAGUAGAAUACUUACAAAGAUGAAUGUGAGUCAAAAAAAUCUAACUAGGGUAAGAGUAUAGCCAGUCCAAGUAACUAUCCUUAAAUUUACAUUUGAUCCUAUGAGUUAACAAGGGCAUAUCAUGAAUGAAGUUAUGCCUCCAGAGUCUGGACAAAGGCCUUUCAUUUCUGAAAAUCUUCCCAUUCCUGAUGAUCCAGAUGUUCCAAGCAGCAGUAAACACCACCUCAGUGAAGAAAGGCUUGCUAAAAUCCUUCCUAGCAUGCAGAGCCAUCUUAUAUGUGGUCAUCCCUGGCUGUGGCUCGGAGCACACUUGCCGUGCCAUGCCACGGCAGUUUGGUACUGAGAAUUCCCCGGCAGGGCACACUUGCCCGGUGAAAAUUCAGACUGACCACGAUUAAGGUGCUACGCAUGUGGCCUCGAUCGUGUAGGCUGCGUCGAAGGAGUCGUCAGGGAAUGGUAUGUCUCGCCCAAAGAAACGAGCCAGAAACGCUGUUUAUCAAGACAUUUUUCUUGCUGUACUUGGUCAGUUAAUUGAUUCACUGGCAAAGAUCUCUGUGUCACAGUUGGUACCUUGACAAAGUUGCAUAAUUUGCUCAGGCCACCAGCCAGCUGAACUGAUGAGUCCCUGCAAAUGUCACGCAUGGAGAUUUUUUGUUUUUUCAGAAGCGCAUACCCCAAGCAGUUCAUGUUUAAUUUGAACACGGGAAAACUGAUGUCCACGUGAUCUGGUACUCGUUGUUGUUCAACCCUGUCACCCUAAAUACCCUCAUAACCCUGCAUGAUCCAUGUCUGAAUGAAUACGAAGUGAGCAAGUAAUUCCACUUGUACAUGUGCCCAUCAUAUUUGUCCAUGCCACUCCACAUGUUCAGUUUUGCAACUUAAGCGGGCAUAAGUACGAUAACAGAUCGACAGGCCCAAAAGGCGAGUACUGCACCAUCCACACGAAUGGCACGCACAGCCAACAACCUAAAUGCAUAACACAACAGCUGUUUCGUGCAGCUAAUGCACAAAAGAUGCUUACAGACUAGAGCAUUCGUAGCACACAACAUACACAGGCUAAACCUCGUCUUGAGCUCCUUGAAGCGCCAAAGCGGGAAACUUGCAGUAGUAUGGCACGUAGAAUGCACGUCGGUACAGUUCAGAGAACAUCCGAAUCUUCAGAAUCUCUGAGCCUUUUCCAGUACUCAUGCUAAAUGAGAUGAUCCUAUGAGCAACUCUGUCAACAAGGAUAACUAGCUCUCUCUCCAAGUCAAAGGCCUGGAUGUCGUAAUCGAAGUACCAUAAUCCUUCAUGAUUAGUGCGGAGCAACAAAUCCCUCCCAAAGACAUUGUUCAUACUUAGACGGUGCUUCACUACCCACCUGCUGUCAGUGCCUUCCAAACUCCAAAUCCGCAUCAUACAACCAUCCAAUUCCUGUUGUGCAUAGCAUAAGACCCCUGAUGACUGGCAAAGACAACCAUCACAACAACCAAACAUCUCUGGCCCAUUUGGAAAUCCUGGCAGCUGAAUGAUCCUCUGACUGAGCCACUGCAUAGAUGGACCGGGUGCAUCGAUUGCCAGAAGGACAGGCUCCCAUAUAUGCCCCACAUAGAGUACCCCAUUCACAAAGCGUGAACUACCAUAAAAUCCUAUCUCACUUUUCCAGCGACAACUAGACCAUGUGAAAUCCUCGGAGAAAAAUAUCUUAACUUCAUUGUAGACUUCACCAUCCAUGGAAGGCCCAGACUGAAAGCUCAAGACAUAAAAGUGUUGAGACCAUGAUGGAUCAAAACACAGCAUGAGAUCAUAAUCAGAGUCUGCUGGUCCAGGUUCAGUAUUUGGAAGUGACAUCCACUCUUGAGUUGCCGGAUUGCACACAAUAACAUGGGAUAUGUCUGCAAAAUAUGAAGAAGUAGGCCAUUGCUGCAACCCUUAAGCUCUAGGUACUCAUAACAUGGCACAAAGCUAAGCGUUGUGUCAAUUUCUUUGUCGCUUGAGGGAAGCCUAGCGAGAUGGAUGCCAGUGCCAUACUGAGGUAUUUGGUGCCGAACCAGUGCCCCCAAACCUAGAUCUCACGGAGCCCUCCCAAAUCCUCUUCUCCUCAGGCACACAACCCCGCCGGCGAUGUUCCUCUCCUCCGCUGCCACCUACGUUCAUCUCCGCGACCGCCUCCCUCCAGCCACUGCCACCCUGCGUUGUAUCGCCGGCCCUUGACUCCUGCCGCACACUCCAUCUCGCCGCUCCACGGGUGCCUUGCGUCUGCCCGUCGCUCCCCAUCCACCUGAAGGCGGCCACCACUGACAAGCCCUCAUCUCUCAAGGCCGCCGCCGCUCCCCAUCCACCUGAAGGCGGCUGGCGGCCACCGCUCACGAGCGCUCUUCUCUCAAGGCCACCGCUGCUCCCCAUCCACCUGAAACCCGCGAGCGCUCAUGACCCUCCCCUCUCAAGCCCGAUGCCGUUCACAUCCGUGCUUCUCCCCCAACCAGCUAGAUCCCGACCUCCCCACUAGCGAGCUCCGCCGCCCCUCUGCCAUAUUGCUCCUCCGACCUGCUCCAGCCCACCCCCUCGACCAGCGAGCUCCACCACCGGCCGCUGCUCCUCUGUCGUGCUGCUACGUACUCGGUACUCCGGCCUGCUCCACCGAUUAGUGAGCUCGGCCACUGAACGCAGCUCUUGUGUCGUGUUGCUUCUCUAGCCAAAGAUUUUGUGAAGCCACCGUGAGCUAGGGGUUGCACUGCAGGAGCAUAGCCUGUACAAGUACUGAACAUUGAAGAUUGCAUCGCAGCCUGUACAAAUUGUGAACGAAGAAAGGGCAACGAAGAUAUCUAAGGUUCAGCAUGGUCAGCAAAAUGAUAACUGAAGAAUGUUGACUCUGUUGUUGAUGCCUGGGCACUAAAUAGUUGUUUACUUUUGGGAACGUGGUAGUACUUGGCAAUAUGCAAAAUGUAUUAUCUUAUUUUGUAAUUCUAUAUGGUGUCAAUCAGAAUUGGGUUUGUGAGAUAUGCCGCAAAUGUAUGAACUUCAUCAGAUUUACAAAUGAUGGUCGAAUUUGGUA